RNAcentral lists this long non-coding RNA (304 nucleotides) under Populus trichocarpa (black cottonwood). RNAcentral describes it as "long non-coding RNA (PTRI_LNC002769)". The record is from RNAcentral. Lineage: Eukaryota; Viridiplantae; Streptophyta; Magnoliopsida; Malpighiales; Salicaceae.
UAGAAUAAUUUUACAGAAAGAAAAAUAAAAAAAAAUGUGAAUAUAAAAAAUAAGAUAAAAAAUUCAAUUACUAUUAACUUUUUAAACCAUGACCUGAGUUAUAAGACCGAAAGCACUGUAUAUGAAAAAUUCAUGAGGGUUAAAAUCAUAUAAAAACAACACAAAAUAAAAAAAAUACAAUAAAAAUAAAUAAUGUUAAAAUUGCAAUAAAAAUAAAUCAAAAGGCAACAACAAAUUUUAAACUUGAGAGUUAAAUUGAAAAGAAAAAAAACAUUAAAAAAAGAGUAAAAAUCAAAAGAACAAA